Molecule: long non-coding RNA, 541 nt
Filed under: Triticum aestivum (bread wheat)
Lineage: Eukaryota; Viridiplantae; Streptophyta; Magnoliopsida; Poales; Poaceae
Description: long non-coding RNA (TAES_LNC004014)
Source: RNAcentral
UUUUUUUUUGAAGAGCUACGGUACCGGCCAGAACAAACAAGGGUAACACAAACACAAACACAAACACUGGAAAAUGAACAGGAAUGACGUAGAAAGACAUCUAACAAAAAUAAUAAACCAACCGGAAAUAUAUGACAACUCACACAGCCAGAAAAAGAAGCAACACAUGUAUGACCUGAAGCUACUUUCAACGAGAUUCCACAUUUACCAACCAACCAUUAUGCACUCAUUGGAGCAACAAAAAAACUCGCAGAUGGGGAGGGACUGGAUUGCGACAUACCGACAGGCUAGGUGAUUACUCCCUCUGUAAACUAAUAUAAGAGCGUUUACAUCACUCAAGUAGUGAUCUAAACGCUCUUAUAUUAGUUUAUGGAGCCAGACUUCCACAUUGCCCCUUCCCUCUCCUGACCUCCCAGACUUCCACAUAUGCCAUUGCCUCAAUCCUCUCGGUGUCCGCGUGGCCACCUCCCUGCGCCCCUGCCCCUGUUGUUCAAGUUCCUCGGCUGGUAGUACCCAUCGUCGUUGUUGUAGUACCCGCCGN